Long non-coding RNA from Bos taurus (domestic cattle), 740 nucleotides. The record is from Ensembl. Lineage: Eukaryota; Metazoa; Chordata; Mammalia; Artiodactyla; Bovidae.
CUCAAGGUAUCUUUCCAUGGUUAUCCACUGCUGCUCUCUUCGGUGCCCCGGGCUCUCAUCCAGGUCCUCAAACUCAAGUGCCUACAGGGGCCAGACAGGUUGUUCAGAUUUCCCAGAGGUACACCCUUCAGGUUCCAUCCUGGAGGACAAUGGCCAGUGUUCUGGGAAUUUCAGCGGAUGAGGAUCCGAGAGGCUGAGUAACUUGCCUGAGGAAAAACAGUCAAAGAGUGGAAGUAUCACUUGGCUGCAUCUGGAUCCAGAGUCCCUGCGCUUUCCACUGCCCUACUUAGAUGGCCCUGGGUCUCCUAUAAUAUCAGCACAGCCUGGUGCCCCCAAGGCUUUGAAAAAGUCCCACAGAUUGGAACCCAGCUCAGCUCCCAGGCACCCCCCAGGUCGGGAGGGAGAAUGCAGCUUUAGAACCUUAGCUGUCACCUCUGCCACCACCUUCUUCCCGGCAGAGGGACUCCCUCCAAGACUGGGUAAGGGUGUGAAAAAGGGGCAGCAGUGGGCAGGAUGGGGGUCAGACGCCGAGAGGGUAGCAAAGAUUGGAGCAUCAGGAAGUGAACAUGCCUGGGACUGUUGGGGAGCAGCGAUCCAGGGAGAGAGCUUGGUGUUUGGGGAUUCGACUGAGGCCUGUGAAGGAGAAGCAGAUGGGGCCUGGGGCUCCCCCAGAGUGUGGCCCUUCCCUGUCCCUUCUGCUCCCUCUCCAUCUUUAAAAAAUUUUAUUUUUAUUAUUACUA